This 359-nucleotide ribosomal RNA is filed under the name uncultured bacterium. RNAcentral's name for it is "bacterial SSU rRNA". It matches the Rfam family "Bacterial small subunit ribosomal RNA", at positions 1 to 334 of the family's 1533-position model. The record is from RNAcentral.
CUAUGCGCCUUGCCAGCCCGCUCAGUCAGAGUUUGAUCCUGGCUCAGGAUGAACGCUAGCGGCAGGCCUAAUACAUGCAAGUCGGACGGGAUCUAUCGGAGAGCUUGCUCGAAGGUAGUGAGAGUGGCGCACGGGUGCGUAACGCGUGAGCAACCUACCCAUAUCAGGGGGAUAGCCCGGAGAAAUCCGGAUUAAUACCGCAUGAGACAUCACCUUCGCAUGGAGGCGUUGUCAAAUAUUCAUAGGAUAUGGAUGGGCUCGCGUGACAUUAGCUAGUUGGUGGGUAACGCCACCAAGGCGACGAUGUCUAGGGGCUCUGAGAGGAGAAUCCCCCACACUGGUACUGAGACACGGACCAG